RNAcentral lists this ribosomal RNA (497 nucleotides) under uncultured bacterium. RNAcentral's name for it is "partial 16S ribosomal RNA". It matches the Rfam family "Bacterial small subunit ribosomal RNA", at positions 28 to 507 of the family's 1533-position model. The record is from RNAcentral.
GAUGAACGCUGGCGGCGUGCCUAAUACAUGCAAGUCGAGCGAACGGAUGAGAAGCUUGCUUCUCUGAUGUUAGCGGCGGACGGGUGAGUAACACGUGGAUAACCUACCUAUAAGACUGGGAUAACUUCGGGAAACCGGAGCUAAUACCGGAUAAUAUUUUGAACCGCAUGGUUCAAAAGUGAAAGACGGUAUUGCUGUCACUUAUAGAUGGAUCCGCGCUGCAUUAGCUAGUUGGUAAGGUAACGGCUUACCAAGGCAACGAUGCAUAGCCGACCUGAGAGGGUGAUCGGCCACACUGGAACUGAGACACGGUCCAGACUCCUACGGGAGGCAGCAGUAGGGAAUCUUCCGCAAAGGGCGAAAGCCUGACGGAGCAACGCCGCGUGAGUGAUGAAGGUCUUCGGAUCGUAAAACUCUGUUAUUAGGGAAGAACAUAUGUGUAAGUAACUGUGCACAUCUUGACGGUACCUAAUCAGAAAGCCACGGCUAACUACGUG